UACGUAGGUGGCAAGCGUUAUCCGGAUUUAUUGGGCGUAAAGAGAACGCAGGCGGUCUUUUAAGUCUGAUGUGAAAGCCUUCGGCUUAACCGGAGUAGUGCAUUGGAAACUGGGAGACUUGAGUGCAGAAGAGGAGAGUGGAACUCCAUGUGUAGCGGUGAAAUCCGUAGAUAUAUGGAAGAACACCAGUGGCGAAAGCGGCUCUCUGGUCUGUAACUGACGCUGAGGUUCGAAAGCGUGGGUAGCAAACAGG
Molecule: ribosomal RNA, 253 nt
Filed under: uncultured bacterium
Lineage: Bacteria
Description: partial 16S ribosomal RNA
Rfam family: Bacterial small subunit ribosomal RNA
Source: RNAcentral